This is a long non-coding RNA of Cryptomeria japonica (Japanese cedar), 217 nucleotides long. RefSeq lists it as uncharacterized. The record is from RefSeq and is a predicted model, not a curated record. Lineage: Eukaryota; Viridiplantae; Streptophyta; Pinopsida; Cupressales; Cupressaceae. The transcript is spliced from 3 exons.
GAAACUGGAAGGAACUUCUUUUGAAGGGCCAAUUCCUUCAACACUAUCAAAUUUGACUAAAUUGACUAGCCUAACCAUAUGCGAUCUACCUAAUGGCGGCACAUCACUUCCAGUCUUAGCAGACCUGAAGAAUCUCACAACAUUAGUUCUAAGAAACAAUAAUAUCUCUGGACAAAUUCCUGAAUACAUUGGAGAAUUGGUUGAACUACGGACGCUG